This 495-nucleotide ribosomal RNA is filed under the name uncultured bacterium. RNAcentral describes it as "SSU rRNA". It matches the Rfam family "Bacterial small subunit ribosomal RNA", at positions 26 to 521 of the family's 1533-position model. The record is from RNAcentral.
AGGACGAACGCUGGCGGCGUGCUUAACACAUGCAAGUGGAGCGACGAACCAGGGCUUGCCCUGGGGCAGAGCCGCGAACGGGUGAGUAACACGUGGGUUACCUGCCUCGAUGACCGGGACAACCCGAGGAAACUCGGGCUAAUACCGGAUGUGCCCGCAAGGGGAAAGGAAGCUUCGGCCUCCGCAUCGAGAUGGGCCCGCGGCCCAUUAGCUUGUUGGUGAGGUAACGGCUCACCAAGGCUUCGAUGGGUAGCUGGUCUGAGAGGACGAUCAGCCACACUGGGACUGAGACACGGCCCAGACUCCUACGGGAGGCAGCAGUGGGGAAUCUUGCGCAAUGCGCGAAAGCGUGACGCAGCAACGCCGCGUGGGGGAAGAAGGCUUUCGGGUUGUAAACCCCUUUCAGUUGGGACGAAGCUUCUUCGGUGAACAGCCGAACGGAGUGACGGUACCUUCACAAGAAGCACCGGCUAACUACGCGCCAGCAGCCGCGGU